Molecule: small nuclear RNA, 110 nt
Organism: Monodelphis domestica (gray short-tailed opossum)
Lineage: Eukaryota; Metazoa; Chordata; Mammalia; Didelphimorphia; Didelphidae
Source: Ensembl
UUGCUUACAUUGGCAACAUAUAUACUAAAAUAGAAAUGAAACAGAGAAGAUUAGCAUGGCCCCUGUACAAGAAUAACAUGUGAAGCUGUCCAGAAGCUUCAUAAAAUUUC